AUUCCAUGCAACCAUAUAUAGCUCAUGGGUAGUUACUAUUGAAUAGUGUAGCUGCCAUUUGAAGUGCAGUUUCUCAAACCUAUUAUCAAGUUCGGAAUGAUGCACAAGUGUAUGAGUUUCGAAACAAGGUUCAUGGCAUGAAACAGGGUGAGCUAACUAUUUCUCAAUAUUAUGCAGAAUUAAGUGAUCUAUAGCAAAAACUAGACUUUUAUCAGGACUUUCAGGCC
RNAcentral lists this unclassified non-coding RNA (227 nucleotides) under Hevea brasiliensis (rubber tree). The record is from RNAcentral. Lineage: Eukaryota; Viridiplantae; Streptophyta; Magnoliopsida; Malpighiales; Euphorbiaceae.